Molecule: small RNA, 156 nt
Filed under: Sphingomonas koreensis
Lineage: Bacteria; Pseudomonadati; Pseudomonadota; Alphaproteobacteria; Sphingomonadales; Sphingomonadaceae
Description: 6S / SsrS RNA
Source: RNAcentral
CGGGUUCUGCCCGGUACGAGCUUACGAUCAUCCCUGAGGCUAUUCAUCAUCCAAGGGGGCUGUCCCUGCCCAGGUCCAGGCCUGAAGCAUAUGGUCCCCACCUGACGUUUUGGGCGUCAGUGGAUAUCACAGCCAACGGCCCAUGGUGGUCCCGCC